CGAACGAACGCUGGCGGCAUGCCUAACACAUGCAAGUCGAACGAGACCUUCGGGUCUAGUGGCGCACGGGUGCGUAACGCGUGGGAAUCUGCCCUUAGGUUCGGAAUAACAGUUAGAAAUAACUGCUAAUACCGGAUAAUGUCUUCGGACCAAAGAUUUAUUGCCUAAGGAUGAGCCCGCGUAAGAUUAGCUUGUUGGUGAGGUAAAGGCUCACCAAGGCGACGAUCUUUAGCUGGUCUGAGAGGAUGAUCAGCCACACUGGGACUGAGACACGGCCCAGACUCCUACGGGAGGCAGCAGUGGGGAAUAUUGGACAAUGGGCGAAAGCCUGAUCCAGCAAUGCCGCGUGAGUGAUGAAGGCCUUAGGUUGUAAAGCUCUUUUACCCGGGAUGAUAAUGACAGUACCGGAGAAGUAAGCCCCGGCUAACUCCGUGUCAGCAGCCGAC
This 446-nucleotide ribosomal RNA is filed under the name uncultured soil bacterium. RNAcentral describes it as "bacterial SSU rRNA". It matches the Rfam family "Bacterial small subunit ribosomal RNA", at positions 27 to 518 of the family's 1533-position model. The record is from RNAcentral.